UAGGGAAUUUUCGUCAAUGGGCGCAAGCCUGAACGAGCAAUGCCGCGUGAACGAGGAAGGUCUUCGGAUCGUAAAGUUCUGUUGAAGGGGAAAAAGAGCGGAGAAAGGAAAUGCUUUCUGAUUGAUAUUACCCUUCGAGGAAGUCACGGCUAACUACGUGCC
This 162-nucleotide ribosomal RNA is filed under the name uncultured bacterium. RNAcentral describes it as "partial 16S ribosomal RNA". It matches the Rfam family "Bacterial small subunit ribosomal RNA", at positions 355 to 509 of the family's 1533-position model. The record is from RNAcentral.